RNAcentral lists this unclassified non-coding RNA (290 nucleotides) under uncultured Nitrospiraceae bacterium. RNAcentral describes it as "contains 16S-23S intergenic spacer region". Lineage: Bacteria; Pseudomonadati; Nitrospirota; Nitrospiria; Nitrospirales; Nitrospiraceae. The record is from RNAcentral.
UCCGGUUUGGCACCGGCAGUCUUCCUAGAGUCCCCGCCAUUACGCGCUGGCGGCCCUUGCGGGCUCCCUUCCCUUUCAGGUCGGUACGAACCAGCAUGUCCAGCCUGGGUAAGGUUCUUCGCGUUGCGUCGAAUUAAACCACAUGCUCCACCGCUUGUGCGGGCCCCCGUCAAUUCCUUUGAGUUUCAACCUUGCGGCCGUACUCCCCAGGCGGGACACUUACUGCGUUAGCUGCGGCACCGACGGAGACCCGCCGGCACGUAGUGUCCAUCGUUUAGGGCGUGGACUAC